This 261-nucleotide long non-coding RNA is filed under the name Brassica napus (rape). RNAcentral describes it as "long non-coding RNA (BNAP_LNC008821)". The record is from RNAcentral. Lineage: Eukaryota; Viridiplantae; Streptophyta; Magnoliopsida; Brassicales; Brassicaceae.
UCUUUCAACUUCUCAUUAUCAAGUGUUUUAUAUGGAGUUUGAUGGUCAUGGUGGACUGGAGGCAUCACUUUGCAUGAAGCAGAAUGAUAGAGCCAAGGUAUGAUAUUAUUGAUGAACGUAGAACGAUUACAAUCACCGUGAUUGAGCCCAAACCCAAGAGCAACCUCUUGAGAUCCUUUUACAAACCAAAUCCAAGCCAGGUUCACAACGAAGAAGAAGACUUCCUUUUACAGACUCGAUCUUGACUCUAACGGCCAAACC